RNAcentral lists this ribosomal RNA (584 nucleotides) under uncultured Pseudomonas sp. RNAcentral describes it as "bacterial SSU rRNA". It matches the Rfam family "Bacterial small subunit ribosomal RNA", at positions 102 to 682 of the family's 1533-position model. The record is from RNAcentral. Lineage: Bacteria; Pseudomonadati; Pseudomonadota; Gammaproteobacteria; Pseudomonadales; Pseudomonadaceae.
ACGGGUGAGUAAUGCCUAGGAAUCUGCCUGGUAGUGGGGGACAACGUCUCGAAAGGGACGCUAAUACCGCAUACGUCCUACGGGAGAAAGCAGGGGACCUUCGGGCCUUGCGCUAUCAGAUGAGCCUAGGUCGGAUUAGCUAGUUGGUGAGGUAAUGGCUCACCAAGGCGACGACCCGUAACUGGUCUGAGAGGAUGAUCAGUCACACUGGAACUGAGACACGGUCCAGACUCCUACGGGAGGCAGCAGUGGGGAAUAUUGGACAAUGGGCGAAAGCCUGAUCCAGCCAUGCCGCGUGUGUGAAGAAGGUCUUCGGAUUGUAAAGCACUUUAAGUUGGGAGGAAGGGCAGUAAGCGAAUACCUUGCUGUUUUGACGUUACCGACAGAAUAAGCACCGGCUAACUCUGUGCCAGCAGCCGCGGUAAUACAGAGGGUGCAAGCGUUAAUCGGAAUUACUGGGCGUAAAGCGCGCGUAGGUGGUUUGUUAAGUUGAAUGUGAAACCCCCGGGCUCAACCUGGGAACUGCAUCCAAAACUGGCAAGCUAGAGUAGGGCAGAGGGUGGUGGAAUUUCCUGUGUAGCGGU